Rhineura floridana is the source of this 2643-nucleotide long non-coding RNA. RefSeq lists it as uncharacterized. Lineage: Eukaryota; Metazoa; Chordata; Lepidosauria; Squamata; Rhineuridae. The record is from RefSeq and is a predicted model, not a curated record. The transcript is spliced from 3 exons.
ACCCUGAGGGGGGAAAGGGUUUAUCUGCCGAUCAGCUGUGAAGUCUCUUUGAAGAUUAAUUUUUAAAAAAGCACACUCAAGCAGCUCCCAUGAGGUUUCAGAGCAAAAAGGGGUGGUGUUUGACUACUGUUGUGUGCCCCAAUUUUCUGAAGAGAGAGGUGGAGACACAGCAGAACCGGCAGAACAAAAGUGCUUGAUGCUUGGCAAUCAGCGUGGGAAGAGUGAAACUGAUGGAUAACACCUAGAAGAGUUAUGCUGAUAUGGAUUAUUCACCAAGCAAGAGAUGAAUUGAUUUCAUAAAGGAAGCCACAGACUUGAACUUACAAGAUCUGAACAGAGUGGUUCAUGACAGAUGCUCUUGGAGGUCACUGAUUCGUAGGGUCGCCAUAAGUCGUCAUCGACUUGAAGGCACAUAACGACAAAACUUUUACAAGUAUAAUCCUGCAAACAGGGUUUUCCCAGGAAGAAUGAUGCCUAUUCCACACAUCGCCAUGUUACAGCCAUACCAUGCUCUUGAGCAUACUGAAGAGGUUUCCUUUACUGCAUGGUUUUGUGCAGUUUAAUGGCAAAAUGUGCUUGCUUAAUAGGUCUUGAUGGCUAGUUACUACCUUAGUAAGAUCCGUUUCUGAAAACUCAAGUACUGUUCAAUUCAAUAUAAGAAAAGUAAACAGUACAGUUUGUCCCCUUAUUAAAAGAAAAAAAGAAAGGCAAUGAAGAGGAAAAUCUGGAACAUAUUUCUAUAGAGGAGGGAAGAUAAUUUUACAUAGAGAGCAGUGCUCUGCUCUGUACUGUUCCUCCAUUAGUUAUAGGCCUAAAGUAUUUCUACAGUCACCAUAGGAGGAUAUAUGGUACAAACUGUCUGCAUCUGAUGCUGCCUAAGUUUCGGAUGAAAUCUCCAAAAUGCAUCCCUGGAUCUACUAUUUCCAGAUGCUAUCAAUCACUUUAAUUAAUGGCUAAGUCUAUUCAUCUGUUUAAAAAAAUUACAUGAACCAGUUGAAGCUUUGACUAAUGUCAUUGACCUCCCAAAGUGUGGACGUGUACACUCCCUCAAAUUACACAAAGAAAAAAAAAGUCACAAAGGGGGAAAUGAAUUUCUAGAAGUCUAUGUUAGUCUUCAUUUGAUUCCCUGUAAUAUCUCUCCUUCAAUGUCACAAGCUUAUUUUAAUUCUGUGGUAAAUAGCCCUGCUAUUCUGAAGCCACAUGGUAUGCACAGAGAAAUAGCAGAACUCUCUCUUUUAAAAGCCAGCACAAAAAUAAAAUGAAAACUUUGGGAAUUAUUUCUGUCUGAGAGGCACCCACAGAGAUGUCCUUAUGGUUGUGUGAUUUUUUUAAAAAUCCAUGAGGGCAAUUCUGUUAACAGCUUUACCUUGAGGCAUUAAAAGACAUUUGGUAAACAAACACCACUGGAGGAAAAGCUACCACUGUGUUUAAGGGGAACUGAAAGAGCUCUGCAGAUAGUGAAAUGUCCUGGCUGUUAACAACUUUCCAUUGAAAUGAGAAAAAAAGCAAUAUAAGAUAGCUUGGACUCUUUGAAUCGUUUUUCUAGACAAUAGCACGUUGCCUUUGUGCAUUUAGAGCCCAAUAAAUGGAAAGCAUUAUACCUUUAAUUACCUUUAUUUAAAACAUUUGCUGACAAUGAAUGUUGUUAUUAAGGUGUUUUUUUCUGGCCUCUUGCUAUGCAACCAGAAAUAACAGACAUUCCACAUCUGUUCAGUGAAUUUUUUCACUAAAUAAUGCAGGGAUGAGGAACUUUUGGCCCUCCAGAAGUUGCUGAACUACAGCUUUCCAUCAGCCCCAGCACAGAGCUGGCCAUAGAAUAAAUAGCACGCUGGGCAAGGAGUGCCUUUGGUGCCCUCCCCCCAGUGGUCAUCUUACAUGGCCACCCAGAGGGUUUCUGGGGCCUGGUGCAGGUGUGAUGUUGGGGGCCCUGCUGCUGCCCCCUACAAGAACCCAUGCAUGUGCAUACAAAGCUGGGGGCCACAUGCAUUCACAGACUACAUGUGAGAAUUCUUGUCUGCAGCUCCUCCUUGCCCUGGGAACAAGCAGAAUGAUAAAUGUGCUUCAUUUUUCUUACAUAGGGUUAAGGUAAUAGGGAUUGGGUUGUGCACCUCCUUCAAGUUCCAAACCCCUUCUGGCAGAGUUUAUUUUUCCUUCCUGGGGCUCAGUCUCACAUAGGGUUGCCAGGUUCUUGGCUGAGACUGAUCCUGUAUCUUUAGGCGAAGAGAAGGUCAGCCAAGUGCAGGUCUUCUUGCAACUCUGUAAUGAGAAAAAAUACAAGGUGGAAUUCUCCCGUCCCCCUGCCAACAAACUAUUAUAUGGGGUCUAUGUAUUUUUACAUCUCCAGUAUGUGUGUGUAUAUGGAGUCUUUCAAACAACCCUGUGAGGUAGGGUUGCAGACUGGAAACCAAGGCAGCUCACAAUAAGAAAUAAAUCCCUUUAAAAUCGAAUAACCAUAAAAACAAGUAUAAACAAUUGCAAAACAGCUUAAAGUGGCAUGAUUCUGAAUUUUCGGUUGGGUGAAUGAAGUUCCUUAUCCUUAUUAUGCUGGUUCCUGACCGUAAUAAAUUAUAUUCAUUCAUUCAUUCAUUCUUAUCACUUGAGGCUGCAGCUCUGUGCACGCUUCCCUGUUUGAGUAAGCCUCAC